GAUGAACGCUAGCGGCAGGCUUAACACAUGCAAGUCGAGGGGCAGCGCGGGAUAGCAAUAUCCUGGCGGCGACCGGCGGAAGGGUGCGUAACGCGUGAGCGACAUGCCCGUUGCCCGGGGACAACCGGUGGAAACGCCGACUAAUCCCCGAUGGGAUACGAUGCUUCAUGGCAUUGUAUUGAAAGUUACGGCGGCGACGGAUUGGCUCGCGUCCGAUUAGCUUGUUGGCGGGGUAACGGCCCACCAAGGCUACGAUCGGUAGGGGUUCUGAGAGGAAGGCCCCCCACAAUGGGACUGAGACACGGCCCAUACUCCUACGGGAGGCAGCAGUGAGGAAUAUUGGUCAAUGGGCGGAAGCCUGAACCAGCCAUGCCGCGUGCGGGAAGGAGGCCCUAUGGGCUGUGAACCGCUUUUGCCUGGGGGCAAUAAGGGCGUCGCGCACGUC
This 445-nucleotide ribosomal RNA is filed under the name uncultured bacterium. RNAcentral's name for it is "bacterial SSU rRNA". It matches the Rfam family "Bacterial small subunit ribosomal RNA", at positions 28 to 466 of the family's 1533-position model. The record is from RNAcentral.